AGGAAGCCUGUAGAAUGCCAAAGCAUAUGUCUGCAUAAGUGUCAAACUUGUAAAUUAGCUGUUGUUACAAAAGUUUAACAAUGGGGAAAUGGUCACAUACAAACAUUGGUUUGGGCAUUAGGCUUUUGAGUCUUGCUGUUUUUAAACACUUCAGCUGACGUUGAUAUGAAACUGGGGCAUAAAACCAGGAGCCGGACAUGUGAUCUGUUGCCAGUUGCCUUCAAACUACCACGUGAUGAGGAAAAAAAGAGAGGAAGUGGAUGGAGAAAUGGGACAGGUCAUCUGGACUCUGAUAAUUAAUGUUCCUUAGAAAAUAAAAGUUUUGAAACUUUCCUGGAAAUGAGGUUUUAUGAUCUGCUACAAUGGCCCACAGGGGGAAUGCUGCAACCUACACAUAUUGACAAUUGUGGUAUUACCAGGCAGUUCAUUUUUAUGAGUAAUUUCCAGACCAACCCUCAACCAUGCAGUCAUGCAUACAGUGCAACAGUGUGCCAUAGAAGAAAGACUCAGCUAGAGGCCAAAGAUUAUACAGAUUUAUUAAUAUUUGGGAAAAAGAUCCUAACAGCAGAAAGCAAAUUGAGCAAGAGAGAGGGGAAGAAAGAAUGGACUUGACAACAAAGCGAGCUCUGUAAGGAUGUGAUCCAGAGCACAGUGAACUCAAUAGAAAGAUUUCCAUUGAUUUCUUAAGAUCUUGGAUAGAUCUCAAGGGAACAGAGACACUCUGUCUUAUACCUUUCCCCCUUCUUUCUCCAGCUGAAUUGAAAAUACAUUCUUUCUGGUUCACAACUAGUAUCAUUUAGUAAUCAAGCAUCACAAUCAAAAUGUUGAUCAUACUUGGGAUGUUAAAGCCAAGAAUCCUUACCUAAGCAGCCACAGAAAUGGCUUGGCUUUUCCAAGGGCUAAGCAAUUUGCAAAUUCUCUCUAACAGUACUUUCAACAUUUUAUUAGAUUCAGAGUAGUCUUAUCGCAUACUUAACUUUGCAAACCCACUCUGCUUUCUCCUUUACAAAACUUUGCAAACCCACUCUGCUUUCUCCUUUACAACACAGAGACUAGCGGAGAAGUUGGAUCCGUAAUCUUGUUUCUCUUAAAUCCUUCUCCAUAAACACUUUUCUUGUAAAGGUAAUGACCCGUUUAGUUGUCUUCUCUUUAUGUCUGGUUUAAGUAGUUAUAGCUGUUACUUUUAAAUAGCUAUUAAAUAUUUCAGUAGUUCUUAAACCAUGCCAAAGAAUACUUGGAAUAAGAGAACAAUGAACACAGAUGACUGAAAAUGAAGUUGUAGAAAUGAAUUUGAUUAUAUAUUAUUCAGAAGAAAAAACCAGUUUUUUUGAAGUCCCUGUUAAGGGCUGUUAGAGAAAGCAAUAUACUUUGCACUGAGUGAGGCUACAUAGAUCAUGAACCCUGGCCUCAAGUAAUAUAUCUCCAAGAUCAGCUCAGUUAUCUGCUUUCAAAAUCUUUCCUUCUAUGGGAACAAAGGUUUGCUGCAUAAUGUAAGCAGUGUUUGACAAACUCAUCCUGCUGUGAUAGCAACUUGUAUUUCAUCCUACACACUGAAGAACAUAAUUUAUCUUAACACUAGGCAUUGAGCAAGGCUAGCUGUGGGGAAGUAGAACUACUAGGGUUUCCUUUUACUACUGAACUCAAUUGAAAUCUGCAGUUAAGCCAAGCCUGGUUUAAGUACUCUGUUAAUUAUUUUCUUUAACAUGGUGUGAAAGACCAAGGCUGCUUUGUCGCAAUAGGUGGGUAAGUUACCAGCGAGAUGUGCCGAGUUGAGGAGCUGGUGACAACAGACAGAAAGAGGAAUCCGCAUUACUCCCCAUCAGUUUGGAGAUAUAAGAAUAAACUUCCUUAUAGAGAAACCUGGAACAUUUUCAGUGCAGAACAUUCAACAGAUAGUCCUACUGUCUGAUAGAUCACAGCCUUCUCAGUGACCUGGAGUUCAGGAGUGAACCCUUCCAGGUCCCUAAGAACAAACCCCUCACUUUGCCCAGGCUGUAUGUGGUUGGAGUGCCUGCUCCUCGUCUUCCUCUCCACCGGGAUGCCAGCUGUGUCAGAAAGCCCAGAUUCCAUGAUCUGAGGAUUUACCCAUUCCCUUCACUAGCACAGAAGCUACUGGCUUUGGCAGUUCACUCUGUGAUGUUUCCUGUAAGACCCCGUAAGGCAGCAUCAGUGGAGAGACAGUUGUCCUUCCCCUGGCCUAAACACGUGCACACACACACUAACAACAGGCAUUAGCAAGUCCUCCUGUAAGGUGAUUCUGACCGAAGGGGCACAGUGCCAGCACUGUCUCAAGCUCUGCAACAGAGCAGAAAAAAUGCAGUAGAAACGGUUUAAAAGAACAUAAAUGAAUAAAAACCGGUGGUUCUCUGCUAUUACAGCACUGGACACCGAACAUCAAUUCCAGUCUAAAGUCUAAAAUGAUGAAGCACAGAGCAUGUGGAGUUUUCAGUUUAACUUCUGACCCAGACCUCCCUGAGGACAGUGGGAAUCCCUCUGGGUUUGAUAAGGCACAGUAGGGGCUCUUUUCUCAAGGACAGGUAAACACAUAGUGAUUAACAGGUCAUAAAGGAGAACUGAUCUUACUUCAAGGACUUGUUUUCUCAGAUUCAACCUGCACUAUCAUCGGUGAAGAUCCCCUGGGGGUCCUGCAGUUUUCCCUCUUUGGCUUGCUCUCAGGAUUUGUUUUAGUGAGUCCCCUGUCCACAAAGAGGUGUGACAGGCUGAUGCUUGAAAACCUGGUCCUGUUCACUCUGUCUGUGUCACAAUAGAUCUAAUUUGUCUACCAGGAAGCCCCUUACGACCUGAGGAAUAAAGGGGACACAGACUUUAUUUGUAGAAGGUAUUUUAAAAACUUGGCAUUGUUGCCACAAAUAAUGUUCAGAUGGAAAAUCCUGAUUCAUAAACCAGUAUACAAAGGUAUGAGUUUGUUGGCCAGAAACAAUUACUUAUUCCAUGCUGUGGAACAAUAAGCCCACUAGCAUACUGAGCUUGGUUAUAUACAGAAGUGAUGAUGAUGGUAAAUAUGAUAUAGUUCUAUGUCUAUGACAAAAUUAAUGGAUUUUUCUAUGGACCCAGUGCAAAUGCUAUUGGAGUCCCCAGAAAAAAAACGACAAAAAAACCCCCAAACAAAAAUCAAAAGGUGCUUUUCUGUGUUUGCAUAUGUAAGAAGAUGAAUGUCGGUUUGGAUUUCAAAAACACGAGUCUCAGGAUGUAUCCAGACACAUCCAACACAUGACUACACAGCUGAUGUAUACAUUUCUCCUUUUUUCCACUCUCACCAUAACGUUCAUCAAAGCAGUGGAGAUGUUUGAUAUUCCUGGUGAGAUGAGGUCAGUGCCCCUCUCUUGGAGCUGAAUCAUGUGAAGUAGAAGCUGAAAGAGGACAGAGGGCAUGGGAGAGAAUAGGUACUAUUUUUAGUACAGGGGCAUUCUUCAGUAGCCCUGGUAUCAUAGGAAUCUGCAAGGAGAAGUCUCUGUUGGGGACGUGAUUCAUGAAAUAAUAUACAGAAGGUAUGUGGUGACCUGCAAGUAGCAGGCUUCUCUACAGUCAUGUCAUUGACACCUCUUUGCAAUUUGAUUUUACCAUAAAUGUGUGCUAAUAUUUCAGACAUGAUUUUUUCCCUUGGUCUUUUAGAGGGUAGCACAGAUGGUGACUUCUCUUGUGCGUUUUGCCCUUUACGCUUGUUUCUAGAGACCACCUGAGUGCCUCCAUUGUGGCUCUGUUCUUUUCAGAGUGCUAUUGAUUACAUACUGCACUUCGUGGGAAUCCGGUGUAAAGGGACAGCUUUAUAAGCCAUCACGGGCUCCAGGUUGGAAGCCAGGGCUGACUUCUGGAUGCCAAGUUAGGAAUAAUUGCCUGAGUAAAAACUCAGGGAGGAGUCUGUCCACACAGCUGCCAUAAAGGCUGCAGUCAGAGGAGCUACAGUUGUCGGUAGAUUUCGUCUUGUUUUUCAUGUUCUCUGGCCUUAUCAGGUCCCUGUGUCUACACAGAUACGUGUUUAUUUACAGAUGUAGAACACAUCCUCAUCAAACAAUUUUUGGGCACAUGUUCAAAAAGAGGUAAAAAAUGCAUUGACUGGCCACUACAGCUAAUAGUUAGUAGCUUUUAUCUAAACGUGUAAAAGUUUUUUGACAUGAUAAACUGCUACAGUUUUCACAGAUGUGGAAAGGCAGUUGCAGAAGAGUUAGAUGAAGGACUCUGGUUGGUAGACUUUAACAUAAAAGACUCCUCCAACUCUCUGGACAAGUCAGUAGUGUGGAGAAGACUAAAAAGAGGAGCUGACUCUAAUCCUUUGCCCUAACCACUGUCCCAGCUGCUUUUCACAUGACCUGCCACUUUACCUAUUCCCAACACAAAGCUCCCAACGUGUUUCCUUUAUUUAAUGCAUCAAAACAUCUUUUUAAAAUAAUCGAAAAUGUGGCCCUUACUCAAGGCUGCCCCUGAGUGAUAGCUUUAUCUAUUUUGUCAAUUGCCAGAAGGACACAGUGUGGUCCUGGAGAGUCUCUGGACAAGGUAAUAACAGAGAGUUGCUUCAUCAAAGCUCUUCCCAUGAGGGACGAGAUCUGUAACUUUGUUUUUAGUGGAACAAGCUAACAUCUCCAAAGGCGCAGUAGGCAUCAAAAUACAGUGCUUCUGAGCUCUGUAUGCAAAAGGUCAGGCAGUGUUUAAUCCUGAGGGUGACCUCAUGGACCUCGAGGGAAUUUCAUCAAGGAUGUAGUUAGUCUGUAUUUUGCAAUAAUCUGUAGGAAAUAAGCUUGGCAUUUCAGAGAUAAAAUUCGCAAGCAGUACCAUUCCAGUCACCCAAAGUACUUUGUAGACGGGAUUUCUGUGACAGUUUAUUUCUAAAAAAGUCUCAUGUUCUAAACUGAAACUUUCAGCCCUUACUCAGGCAAAAAUUGCACAGAAACCAGUAGGAAUACUGCCUAGAGCAGAGUGAAAUAAAAGCUGGAGAAUCUGGUGCUGUGUUAUUUGGCUCAUGCUGCAAAACUUCAGCAAAUUUGUCUCUCACAAGCAAAGUGAGCCGUUUUGACAGCUUUUAUUAUAUUGAAUUACAAUGACAAAUAGGGGCAUUGGUUUGUAGAACAUUUGAAAGCGUGAUAAACACAGUCCUAAUGAGAAAGAUGUUUCUUUUUAUUUGAAAGAACACCACUGUUUUUUCUCAUGCAUACUCUAGGUGCACCAACAAAAAUAGAAGACCUGGUUAUCUAAGGCAAAAUUCCUGAAAUAUCAUUCUCUAAUUCUCUAAGCUUUCACUUAUUACUUUUUAUUCCCAGAAGUAUUUGAUGAUUUUAUUGUCCACAAAAACUGUGACAGUAAUAAAAGAAAAUAAAAUUCUUAGUGCAAACAUAGAGUACCUCAGUGUUUUCUUAUGAAUUCAAGAAUGAAUGUAAAGUCAAACAUGCUUUUCAACAUUAAAAAUCUUAUUGUCCAGAGGAUAAAUGGUGCUUACAGUAAGCGGGUUGCUCUUGUAUCUCCUAUGCAGUUACAGUUCUUGGAUUGUUUAACUCCAGUUUUACCCACCGUGGCACUUUUUGAUCUUUGAAGACUACACCUGCUGAGAUCAAGCCCAGGAGCUGCCCAGAACAGAGACGCUUCUCCUAGUGCAUCCUGGCAGCAUUGCCUGUUCUCUGCAAGUUCAUCGCUCCAGGAACUUGCUCUGUGUGCACAAAUGCAGUGGGGUGCAGGACCAGAUGAGAGGAAGCAGCCAAGAAAGGCACAGGAGCAGAAUGCAGAUGGAAAUGAUGCAAGAUACGACAAAUGUAUAUUCCUAGUUUAGGUGGAUGCACAAGAAACAGCUGCCGCUGGGGCAGCCUCAGAUCAUCCAAACUGUGCUGAGAAGGGGCACAGCUAAAGGAUUUUUUUAUAUGUUGUCUCAUCCUCAAGGCGUGUUUUUCAGAGUGCAGAAAUGCUUUUUAUUGCAUUAGAAGCCACCUGCUGCACAUUUACAAUUUUUAAAUCAUCCUUGCUUAGAUUCAGCAGAGUUAGGGAUAGGGAACUCCUAUUGGAUCCCAUUAUCAUUUGAACUACCAGAGCAGUAUUGUUCUAUAUGUUAAUUUGCCAAGCACUCUGCUCAUGUUUAAAUAACUCGGUGUAAUAGCCAUGUAAUUAUUGCCUGUGCCUCUUAAUACAUAUUCAUAAGUUUGAAAAAAGUUUUAAAAUCUUUCUCUUAGAGUUCAAACACCUUCCUGCCUCUUUUUAACCCUUUAAACCACUCCUCCUCGUCAAGAAGAUCAUGUUGACUUAAUUUUAUACAUGGGGCAGUGGAGGGAGGACGAAUCUACACUGACGACUUAUGCUCUAUUUCCUUUUACCAGAUUGCUUUUAGACUCUCUUUUGAAUGAACCGAUUCCCUUAAAAACAAAACCCAAGAGGAGGGUUUGCUCCCGGAACCUCUCCAGAAGCACAAUGAAAAAGGAAAUGCCAAGUUUGACUCCUUGCACCCCACACAGACUAUCCCCAGUGGCUGCUCAAAGUGAUGUUUGGGAGGGUACAUGUCCCCACAUGAGCUUCAGCCCUUGGAGUGGCAGAAUUGCUGGGAACCAGCUAGCACGACAGGCAGAGGUGGAGUUUAUUUGGCUGAGAUGGUGCUAUCCCAACACAUCUACUCCCAUGCCCUCUUGCUGUCCAGCAGCCUGGUCUCUCGGCUCACAGCCUCGCAGCCCCAGCCCACUGGAGGAUGCCUUCCCCUCUGCCAGCCUGCCCGCCCCAUCCAGGCACAGCCUGGCAGCCUCCUUACUCCAUGGCCAGGGUUUCUGGAGAGCUGUGUAUGCUGGCAUCGCAUGGGGCAGCUCUGGGAUGUCAGGGCUGCAGGCAGCACUGCUGGGUUCCCAGAGCAGCAGGGCUGCACCUUCCCUCUGCAAGAAGGUUUCUGCCGGGCCACGCUCAGGCCUUCCCCCAUGACAGACCUGAAAUGCAGAGGUGUAUGCCCAAAAGUACGAGGCCUUGUCACCAGGGAAUUUGCCUGGUGUAGGAAAAACACCUAAGGCUGGUGAGGA
Molecule: long non-coding RNA, 6995 nt
Organism: Falco peregrinus (peregrine falcon)
Lineage: Eukaryota; Metazoa; Chordata; Aves; Falconiformes; Falconidae
Exons: 3
Source: RefSeq, a predicted model, not a curated record